CUAUUUUUUUUCUUCGAGAUCUAGAUCUAAAGAUGUUUGUAGGUACCGAUGAAGCUGCAUACGUGUCUGGCCUCUAUAGAUAUCCACAUGGGGCUGAUGUAAAUUAGGAGCAUCCGAGAUCAUCGAUGUGCUAACUCUCUUUCAGAUCUCGCUCCUUUGAUUUAGAUCUGAUCUCCUUCUUUGACUCUUCGCAAGAUUGGAGGAAG
This 206-nucleotide long non-coding RNA is filed under the name Elaeis guineensis (African oil palm). Its description in RNAcentral is "long non-coding RNA (EGUI_LNC019647)". The record is from RNAcentral. Lineage: Eukaryota; Viridiplantae; Streptophyta; Magnoliopsida; Arecales; Arecaceae.